Molecule: long non-coding RNA, 614 nt
Organism: Mustela lutreola (European mink)
Lineage: Eukaryota; Metazoa; Chordata; Mammalia; Carnivora; Mustelidae
Exons: 4
Source: RefSeq, a predicted model, not a curated record
CCUUACCUCUCUCAGCCUUCCCAGAACUGGAGAGAGUCAGGGCCUGGCUCUGGACUAGGCUUUGGCUUAAGGGAAUGUUGUGGUUCAUUUGAUCUUCUAUCCAGACCACUCAGACUUUCUCCAUCUCAGCAAUGGUGUUAACACAAGCUGAACAAAAAAGAGCAAAUAUAAAAUUCAGUCUAUUACCACUCCGCGUGAGGUGUUCCCAGGACUUGGGGACCAUCACACAGUAAACAGGUGAGAGCAAGUGCCAAUGGGAGUAAAUACCGCAUGUCUCUAAAUUUAAACCAAACACCUAUUAAGAGCUCUGCUUUGAUCUUUGUUGGAGGAAACACAAAGAUGCCGGAUAGCCAGAAUAAAUGAAUGGAUCAAGAAGAUGUGGUAUAUAUACACAAUGUAAUACUAUGCAGCCAUCAAAAGAAAUGAAAUCUUGCCAUUUGCGACAACAUGGAUGGAACUAGAGCGUAUCAUGCUUAGCGAAAUAAGUCAAGCGGAGAAAGACAACUGUCAUAUGAUCUCCCUGAUAUGAGGAAGUGGUGAUGCAACAUGGGGGUUUAAGUGGGUAGAAGAAGAAUUUAUAUGCCAUUUUAAUGGCAAGAUGAGGCAAAGGUAAA